UGGGGAAUAUUGGACAAUGGGCGCAAGCCUGAUCCAGCCAUGCCGCGUGAGUGACGAAGGCCUUAGGGUUGUAAAGCUCUUUUGGCGGGGACGAUAAUGACGGUACCCGCAGAAUAAGCCCCGGCUAACUUCGUGCCAGCAGCCGCGGUAAUACGAAGGGGGCUAGCGUUGUUCGGAAUCACUGGGCGUAAAGGGCACGUAGGCGGAUGUGCCAGUCAGGGGUGAAAUCCCGGAGCUCAACUCCGGAACUGCCUCUGAUACUGCACGUCUUGAGUUCGAGAGAGGUGGGUGGAAUUCCUAGUGUAGAGGUGAAAUUCGUAGAUAUUAGGAAGAACACCGGUGGCGAAGGCGGCCCACUGGCUCGGUACUGACGCUCAUGCACGAAAGCGUGGGGAGCAAACAGGAUUAGAUACCCAUGUAGUCCCUGAGCGGGCUGGCAAGGCGCAU
Molecule: ribosomal RNA, 447 nt
Filed under: uncultured bacterium
Lineage: Bacteria
Description: bacterial SSU rRNA
Rfam family: Bacterial small subunit ribosomal RNA
Source: RNAcentral